This 468-nucleotide ribosomal RNA is filed under the name uncultured bacterium. RNAcentral describes it as "partial 16S ribosomal RNA". It matches the Rfam family "Bacterial small subunit ribosomal RNA", at positions 28 to 507 of the family's 1533-position model. The record is from RNAcentral.
GACGAACGCUGGCGGCGUGCUUAACACAUGCAAGUAGAACGGAAAGGCCAUGCUUUUGUGUGGUACUCCAUUGGCGAACGGGUGCGUAACACGUGAUUACCCUUCCCUUGACUUUGGGAUAACUUCAGGAAACUAUGGCUAAUACCGGAUAGGAGCUCAUACUACAUAGUAUGGGUUGGAAAUUUUCGGCGGUUUGGGAUGGACUCGCGGCUUAUUAGCUUGUUGGUGGGGUAGUGGCUUACCAAGGCUUUGGCGGGUAGCCGGCCUGAGAGGGUGACCGGCCACAUUGGGACUGAGAUACGGCCAAGACUCCUACGGGAGCCAGCAGUGGGGAAUAUUGCACAAUGGGCGGAAGCCUGAUGCAGCAACGCCGCGUGCUGGAUGACGGCCUUAGGGUUGUAAACCGUUUUCGCCUGUGACGAAGCGUGAGUGACGGUAAUGGGUAAAGAAGCACCGGCUAACUACGUG